This 361-nucleotide ribosomal RNA is filed under the name uncultured bacterium. RNAcentral describes it as "bacterial SSU rRNA". It matches the Rfam family "Bacterial small subunit ribosomal RNA", at positions 917 to 1271 of the family's 1533-position model. The record is from RNAcentral.
GGGCUCACACAAGCGGUGGAUGAUGUGGCUUAAUUCGAGGCAACGCGAAGAACCUUAUCCUGGACUUGACAUGCUUGGAUGGCUCGCCCGAAAGGGAUGAGUCUGCCUUCGGGUGAAACUUGCACAGGUGCUGCAUGGCUGUCGUCAGCUCGUGUCGUGAGACGUCGCGUUAAGUCGCUUAACGAGCGCAACCCUUGUCCUUAGUUGCCAGCACGUAAUGGUGGGGACUCUAAGGAGACCGCCGGUGUCAAACCGGAGGAAGGCGGGGACGACGUCAAGUCAUCAUGGCCUUUAUGUUCAGGGCUUCACGCAUGCUACAAUGGCCGGUACAGAGGGCUGCAAUACCGCAAGGUGGAGCGAA